This 791-nucleotide ribosomal RNA is filed under the name uncultured Bacillota bacterium. RNAcentral's name for it is "bacterial SSU rRNA". It matches the Rfam family "Bacterial small subunit ribosomal RNA", at positions 564 to 1357 of the family's 1533-position model. The record is from RNAcentral. Lineage: Bacteria; Bacillati; Bacillota.
AGGGAGCGUAGGCGGCAUGUCAAGCCAGAUGUGAAAGCCCGGGGCUUAACCCCGAGGAUUGCAUUUGGAACUGGCAAGCUAGAGUACAGGAGAGGAAAGCGGAAUUCCUAGUGUAGCGGUGAAAUGCGUAGAUAUUAGGAAGAACACCAGUGGCGAAGGCGGCUUUCUGGACUGAAACUGACGCUGAGGCUCGAAAGCGUGGGGAGCAAACAGGAUUAGAUACCCUGGUAGUCCACGCCGUAAACGAUGAGUGCUAGGUGUUGGGGAGGAAUCCUCGGUGCCGCAGCUAACGCAAUAAGCACUCCACCUGGGGAGUACGACCGCAAGGUUGAAACUCAAAGGAAUUGACGGGGGCCCGCACAAGCGGUGGAGCAUGUGGUUUAAUUCGAAGCAACGCGAAGAACCUUACCAAGGCUUGACAUCCCGAUGACCGCUUCAGAGAUGAAGCUUCUCUUCGGAGCAUCGGUGACAGGUGGUGCAUGGUUGUCGUCAGCUCGUGUCGUGAGAUGUUGGGUUAAGUCCCGCAACGAGCGCAACCCUUAUCUUCAGUAGCCAUCAUUCAGUUGGGCACUCUGGAGAGACUGCCGUGGAUAACACGGAGGAAGGUGGGGAUGACGUCAAAUCAUCAUGCCCCUUAUGUCUUGGGCUACACACGUGCUACAAUGGCUGGUAACAAAGUGACGCAGAACGGCGACGUCGAGCAAAUCACAAAAACCCAGUCCCAGUUCGGAUUGUAGUCUGCAACUCGACUACAUGAAGCUGGAAUCGCUAGUAAUCGCGAAUCAGAAUGU